GGCUCAGGAUGAACGCUGGCGGCGUGCUUAACACAUGCAAGUCGAACGAAGCACUUUAUUUGAUUUCCUUCGGGACUGAUUAUUUUGUGACUGAGUGGCGGACGGGUGAGUAACGCGUGGGUAACCUGCCUUGUACAGGGGGAUAACAGUUGGAAACGGCUGCUAAUACCGCAUAAGCGCACAGCAUCGCAUGAUGCAGUGUGAAAAACUCUGGUGGUAUAAGAUGGACCCGCGUUGGAUUAGCUAGUUGGUGAGGUAACGGCCCACCAAGGCGACGAUCCAUAGCCGACCUGAGAGGGUGACCGGCCACAUUGGGACUGAGACACGGCCCAAACUCCUACGGGAGGCAGCAGUGGGGAAUAUUGCACAAUGGGCGAAAGCCUGAUGCAGCGACGCCGCGUGAGCGAAGAAGUAUUUCGGUAUGUAAAGCUCUAUCAGCAGGGAAGAUAAUGACGGUACCUGACUAAGAAGCACCGGCUAAAUACGUGCCAGCAGCCGCGGUAAUACGUAUGGUGCAAGCGUUAUCCGGAUUUACUGGGUGUAAAAGGGAGCGCAGGCGGCGCGGCAAGUCUGAUGUGAAAGCCCGGGGCUCAACCCGGUACUGCAUUGGAAACUGUCGUACUAGAGUGUCGGAGGGGUAAGCGGAAUUCCUAGUGUAGCGGUGAAAUGCGUAGAUAUUAGGAGGAACACCAAGUGGCGAAGGCGGCUUACUGGACGAUAACUGACGCUGAGGCUCGAAAGCGUGGGGAG
Molecule: ribosomal RNA, 750 nt
Filed under: uncultured Bacillota bacterium
Lineage: Bacteria; Bacillati; Bacillota
Description: bacterial SSU rRNA
Rfam family: Bacterial small subunit ribosomal RNA
Source: RNAcentral